RNAcentral lists this ribosomal RNA (484 nucleotides) under uncultured bacterium. RNAcentral describes it as "partial 16S ribosomal RNA". It matches the Rfam family "Bacterial small subunit ribosomal RNA", at positions 30 to 507 of the family's 1533-position model. The record is from RNAcentral.
AUUGAACGCUGGCGGCAGGCCUAACACAUGCAAGUCGAGCGGAUGAAGGGAGCUUGCUCCUGGAUUCAGCGGCGGACGGGUGAGUAAUGCCUAGGAAUCUGCCUGGUAGUGGGGGAUAACGUCCGGAAACGGGCGCUAAUACCGCAUACGUCCUGAGGGAGAAAGUGGGGGAUCUUCGGACCUCACGCUAUCAGAUGAGCCUAGGUCGGAUUAGCUAGUUGGUGGGGUAAAGGCCUACCAAGGCGACGAUCCGUAACUGGUCUGAGAGGAUGAUCAGUCACACUGGAACUGAGGCACGGUCCAGACUCCUACGGGAGGCAGCAGUGGGGAAUAUUGGACAAAGGGCGAAAGCCUGAUCCAGCCAUGCCGCGUGUGUGAAGAAGGUCUUCGGAUUGUAGAGCACUUUAAGUUGGGAGGAAGGGCAGUAAGUUAAUACCUUGCUGUUUUGACGUUACCAACAGAAUAAGCGCCGGCUAACUUCGUG